This 8013-nucleotide ribosomal RNA is filed under the name Dunaliella salina. Its description in RNAcentral is "large subunit ribosomal RNA". The stretch from base 1 to 5774 matches the Rfam family "Bacterial large subunit ribosomal RNA". The record is from RNAcentral. Lineage: Eukaryota; Viridiplantae; Chlorophyta; Chlorophyceae; Chlamydomonadales; Dunaliellaceae.
ACGGUGGAGACCUAGGCACCCAGAGACGAAGAAGGGCGCAGAUACCGGCGAAACGCUCCGGGGAGUUGGCAACAAACUUUGAUCCGGAGAUCCCCGAAUAGGGCAACCUGUACAACUUCCAACAGAAUUCAUAAGUUGGAAAGAGGCAACCCAGUGAAUUGAAACAUCUUAGUAGCUGGAGGAAAAGAAAGCAAACGCGAUUCCCGUAGUAGCGGCGAGCGAACCGGGAACAGCCUAAACCCAUUUCCAUUAGGGAAUGGGGGUAGUGGGAAGACAUUAUAAUUAUAAAAAAAAUAGAAAAUAAGAGAAAUUAUCGAAUAAAAUUCUUUUACGAGGCGCCCGCAGACAUCGUCGAGGACGACGAGUCUAGGUCGCCUCGUAGAGCUCGCCUCGCAGAGGCGACCUACAGAAUUUUAUUCGAGAAUUCUCGAAGAUUUUCAAUAUCCAUAGGAUAUUGAAAACUUCGAUAAUUUAUAAUCUUUGUUUAUAGAUUUAUUCUCUUUUAGAGUUUUCUAAAAACGAAACAGCUGAAUCCUGUACCAUAGAUGGUGAAAGUCCAGUAGUUGAAAUGAAAAAAAAAGAAAAUGUCUUAUUGUCUUAUCCCGAGUAGCAUGGGACACGUGGAAUCCCGUGUGAAUCAGCGAGGACCACCUCGUAAGGCUAAAUACUCCUGGGUGACCGAUAGCGAAAUAGUACUGUGAAGGAAAGGUGAAAAGAACCCUCGUAUAGGGAGUGAAAUAGAACAUGAAACCGUAAGCUGACAAGCUGUGGGAGGUUAAGAGCUGACCGCGUGCCUGUUGAAGUAUGAGCCGGCGACUUAGAGGGAGUGGCAAAAAGGUUAAGGAGAAACAUCCGGAGCCAACGCGAAAGCGAGUCCGAAAAUUCGGCGAAUAUUUGUCAUUUCCUCUGGACCCGAACCCGGGUGAUCUAAUCAUGACCAACAUGAAGCUUGGGUAACACUAAGUGGAGGUGUGCACCGACCGAUGUUGAAAAAUCGGCGGAUGAGUUGUGAUUAUGUGCAGAAAUUGCAAUCGAACUCGGAGCUAGCUGGAUCUCCCCGAAAUGCGUUGAGGCGCAGCGGCAACGACGAGCUAUCAUAAGGUAAAGCUACUGUUUCGAUGCGGGCUGCGAGAGCGGUACCAAAUCGUGGCAAACUCAGAAUGUAUGAUAUUGCCUACCGUUAGCCAGUGAGACCCAAGGUGAUAAGAUCUUCGGUCAAGAGGGAAACAGCCCAGAUCACCAGCUAAGGCCCCUAAAUGGUUUCUAAGUGGAAAAGGAUGUGAGAGUGCAGAAACAACCAGGAGGUUAGCUCAUUUGGGCUUGCUUAUAGAAAAAACUAUGCUUAUAGGAGUAACUACAAGUGAAAAAAUCGGGUGAAAUGCAAGAAAGCUACCGUGGUUUUAUUAAAACAAUAAAAUUUUUAGGACAAUGGUACGCUAAUUUGCAGCGAAGUUUAUUGAAAGAUCAUUUAAGUAAAUAAAAACGUUCAACGACUAGGUGGUGAGGAGAUCAACCGAUAAGCCACUCACGAGAGCCCGACAACAAAACAGAGAAGUUUGUUGAAAACAUAGUCUGAACUGUACAGAAAUGUGCAGAAGCAAGAGAUAAAAAACUCUUGAUGUGCUUUUUUUAAAGCACAAUCUCUAAACUAAAAAGCACAAACUCUAAUCUUUAAUUUAGAGUCUUUGUACUCUAUUUAGAGUAUUUGUAUGGGCUUGCCCCAUACCAUUAAUAUUACCAUACCAUUAAUAUUAUUUGAAAAUUUAUUAACUAAAAACAAUAAAAAGUAAAAAUUAUGUUAUUAAAUAGUGCACAAUUACGAGGGUUUUUUGAAGGUGACGGUGGAAUUCAAAUACGCGUUGAUAAACGUAAGAAUGGUUUAAGCUUUCGACCGCAAGCUAAAUUUGGGCAAACAACAAAAAAUGCUCAAAUUUUAGAAUGGUGUAAAGAAAGUUUACAAGCUAAUAUUGCAAUGGCUGAAUAUGAUGAAACUGACGCUUCGUGGUUUGUGUUUCCUUUUAACAGUGAUAUUGGUAAAAGAUUUAUUCAAAUGUAUCUAAAAAAUAAACCAGUUAAUCCUGGAACUUUAAAAGAUUUUCUAAUAGCUUUAUUAAUUUAUCAAUAUCAAACGGAGCGUUACAUACCAUUUGAAUCAGAAUCAGCUUAUUUAUUACAAAAUAAGCCUUACGAAGAACGUGAACGUAUAGAGUUUUUAACACUAUUAUGGUUACGUUAUCAACGUUCCGCAUCACGAGAAACAAAAAAAACUCUCCCAAUUUCACAUUAUCACGAGCAUGUUAAUGCAACUCCAGACGAAAUAAGUUCAGCAGAAAGAUUAGGUAACGAACUUUUACUUCCUAUUUCUAUGGAGGUUAAUGAUCUUGUAUCAAAUUUAGAAAAUAAUAAAAUUCAAAUUUGUGCAGAUUAUGUUGCAUACUAUCAUGUAGCUGAUGGCAGUCUUAGCUUUAAUUUUCAUAAACGUCGUUUAGCUGGUGGCAGACAAAACAUAAAAAUUGAUCCACGUUGGACUAUUUCUGAUGAUUUAUUAGCUAAACCCCUUUUAGAGUGUAUUGCAAAACAAUACAACUUCUCUGGGUAUCAGCCAAUGAAUAAUCAAAAUUGUGGUUAUAUUCACGCUAAAGGUUGGGCAAGAGCUAAAGAAGUUGUUAUUCCUUUCUUUAAAGACAAACAACUUCACCUUCCUGAUGUAAUAGCCAACAAAGUUUCAAAUUUUAUUGAGGUUUGUGGAUUACAUUCUAAUCCAAACACUUUUAAAGAUGCACAGCUAUUUCGAUCUUAUGUGCGCAAAGCCUAUUUUUGUAAUCCUGAUAAAGGAAAACGUUCUGAGCAAACGUUUUCAAGAGAUUACGAAAAGCUUAUGGAAAAUUUAAUUUCUGACCGUCAAAUUCAGUGAAAUUAUUAAAAUAAAUUAUUUUAAUUUAGAGAUUAUAACAAAUUGUAGAAGCAGCUAUCCCUUGAAAGAGUGCGUAAUAGCUCACUGGUAAAGCGUUCUUGCGCCGAUAAUGGCCGGGACUAAGAAACCUGCCGAAGCUGUGAGAUUCUUAUAUAAGAAUCGGUAGGGGAGCGUUCUGUUAUUGGGUGAAGUUAUGGUGUAAACCAGAAUGGACAAAACAGAAGUGAGAUUGUUGGCUUGAGUAACGAAAACAUUGGUGAGAAUCCAAUGCCCCGAAAACCGUUGGGUUCCUCCACUAGGUUCGUCCAUGGGGGGUUAGUCAGGUCCUAAGGCUAGGCCGAAAGGCGUCGUCGAUGGAAAACAGGUUAAUAUUCCUGUACUGAUUCUAUUGGGAACAAGGGACGAAGAAGGCUAAACUGAGACUACUAAUGGAUUAUAGUGGAAGCGUCAAGGUGUUGAGAGUUAGAAGAAAAACUAAACUUGAGCUGAGGCGUUAUCCCGAUGACAAUCCUUCGGGGUUGUUGUCGUCAGUGAUGUCAUGCUUCCAAGAAAAGCUUGAGCUCCAUAACAAUAGAAUUACCUGUACCUAAAACCGACACAGGUAGGUGAGUAGAGAAUACUAAGGGGCGCGAGAGAACUCUCUCUAAGGAACUCGGCAAACUGGCCCCGUAACUUCGGAAGAAGGGGCGCCUUUAAUUUCAUUAAAGGUCGCAGUGACCAGGCCCAGGCAACUGUUUAUCAAAAACAUAGGUCUCCGCAAAGUCGAAAGACUAUAUAUGGGGGCUGACGCCUGCCCAGUGCCGGAAGGUUAAGGAAGUUGGUUAGAGAGCUUGUCUCUCGAAGCUGACGACCGAAGCCCCGGUGAACGGCGGCCGUAACUAUAACGGUCCUAAGGUAAGGGUUAACGCUAGCUUUAGUAAAAUCAAGCUAUAUGCUGGAAAUCCUUAAAAUAAACCAUAAACAAAAGAGUUAUUCAAGAUAACCACAGCAAGAAAGACUAAGUAAUAGGGUGGGUUUAACCCAACCCCAAACAACCUAGUAUCCUCAGAGACUACACGCUUGACACUUUUACAUAAGUGAGUAUUAUUAAUCUUCUCUAUUGUCUAUCUUACAAACUAUACAAAUAAAAAAAAAAAUUUAAAUUAUGAAUAAAAACCUAUAUAAAGUUGAACAAAAAAGAGAUACAAAUGACAUCUGUAUACCAAAAUAUGAUAAUUAUGUAAUUCCAACUUUAGACAAAACAGCACCGGCUUCCAAAAUUCUAAAUAGUAAACAAGACUUAAGUGGUAAAAAAUUUACUGUUAAAGAUUCAUUUGGUCGCGAUGUAGUAAUGUCGGCGGAUUGGAUUGCUGGUUUUACAGAUGGUGAAGGAACAUUAACAAUAAAUAUAAACAAAAAUCAAACAUUAACAUAUAAGUUUCAAAUACAACCAGUGUUUAUUAUUGUUCAGGGUGAAGCUGAUUAUUAUUUACUAACAGCUAUUGCGAACUUCUUUGGUUGUGGUUCAGUAACUGUAAAUAGAAAGGAUAAAACUUCAGUACGUUAUCAAUAUCGCGUAAACAAUUUAGAAUUACUAACUAAUAUUUUUAUUCCUUUCUUUGAUAAAGUUUCUUUAUUAACAAAGAAAAAAGAUGAGUAUUUCUUUUGGAAAGAUCUAGUUAUUGAACAUAAAAAUAAAACAAAUCUAGAUUCUUGGCCAAACAGUAUGGUGGCUUUCCUAGAAAAAGCAAAGCUUUGGAAAUGCCAAGGUACACAAACUAAACAAACUGAAUCUUAUAUAGAAACGUGUGAUAAAUAUAUUGAAAUUGUUAAAAGUAUUCCUUCAGAGAACAUAGAAAGAUUAAAAUAACACUUAGAAAGUGAAGAUAGAGUCCAAACUCCAGCAUGAGCUGUGAGACCUAACUCGUAAGGAUUAGGGGGUUUAUCUUAAUAAAGAUAAAUUAUAUUGAGCGAAAUUCAUUGUCGAGUAAGUUUCGACCUGCACGAAAGGUGUAAUGAUCUGGGCGCUGUCUCGGAGAGAGACUCGGUGAAAUAGACAUGUCCGUGAAGAUGCGGACUACCAAUACUAGGACAGAAAGACCCUAUGAAGCUUGACUGUAUCCUGGAAUUGAACUCGGGCUUUUCUUGCGCAGCCUAGGUGGGAGGCGUUGAAGGUCCCCUUCCGGGGGGGCUGGAGCCAUCAUUGAGAGACCACUCUGGAAGAGCUAGAGUUCUAAUGGUGAUCUUUGAAACAAGACACUUGACAGUUUCAGGUGGGCAGUUUUCCUGGGGCGGGAACCUUAAUACAAUGGGGUUGUAUGUAAGUAAUUACAUAUUCAAAAACUGGCUAUAUGCUGGAAGGAACUUAAUAUAAAUUUAAGCGGACAAAUUAGCUUCGCUAAUUUGUCCUUCAGGAAAAAAACCUUUAGGUUUUUUUCCGGUAGUUACGUGAUUAAUUUCCAAUCAGCAGGGAAGUUAAGCAAAAAACGCUUAACCCCUCAACGACUAUAUGCCGGAAGACUCUAAGAAAUUAGAGUUUAUAGUAUAGUCUGAACUGAAGCAAAAAGCUUCAGCUCCCCGUAAAUAAAUUUUAAUAUCUGUAUUAUUCACAUAUACAUAUAAGGGGAGGUUUAUUUCAAAUAGAAAUAAAUGUAACAUCCUUGCCCAAAGCGUAACGGAGGUGUGCAAAGGUUCUCUCAGUCUGGACGGAAAUCAGACAUUGAGUGUAAAGGCAAAAGAGAGCUUGACUGUAAGACCAACAAGUCGAGCAGGGGCGAAAGCCGGCCUUAGUGAUCCGACGGUGCCGUGUGGAAGGGCCGUCGCUCAACGGACAAAAGUUACUCUAGGGAUUAAUGUUAGUCCCAUCUUAGAGAAAUCUAAGAAACAAGAAAAUCGGGUGAAAUGCAAAGAAAGCUUAAAUAACAAAUAUCAAAGUUUUCAAUAUCCUAAGGAUAUUGAAAAUCUUCGAGAAAUGUUAUUAUGCCAAUUUGCAGCGAAGAUUACUCUAACAAAAAGAGUAAUAACGUUCAACGACUAGGAAUGAUAAUUCCCACGAGACCCCGACAGCUUUAAUAAAGUUUCCCUCGGCUCGGCGCUUGUAACACGUAGUGUUACAAGCGCCCCCGUCCCGUGAGGGGGGCGGCCGAAAAGCUGAUGACAUAGUCUGAGCUUACCUUAAAAGGUAAGAAGUAUAGUAUAAACAACUAUACGAUAACAUAUCUGAACAGGCUGAUCUUCCCCAAGAGUUCAUAUCGACGGGAAGGUUUGGCACCUCAUCAUGGGGAGGUUUAUGUGAAAGCAUUAAUCCUUUAUUUAGCUGUAUGCUGGGACAGCCUUAUAUUUCUUUCAUAAGGUCAAUCAGCAGGGAAGUAACUUCAAGUUACCCUUCAACGACUACAUGCUAAACAUCUCUAGAAUAUUUAAAAGAGAUGGUGAUAUAGUCUGAACUUCUAGAAAACUAGAAGAACAAAAAACCAAAUUACAUUUAAAUCAUUAAAAACUAUCGCCCCCCUCACGGGUCGGCGAUAGUUAAUUUUCUAAUAACAUAUUGGUUUUUUUUAACACAAUUGCGAUGUCGGCUCAUCACAUCCUGGAGCGGUAGUACGUUCCAAGGGUUGGGCUGUUCGCCCAUUAAAGUGGUACGUGAGCUGGGUUCAGAACGUCGUGAAGUCUCGCGACUUUGUAAAGUAAUUUACAAAAAAGAAAAACAAUUGCCUCAUAUCGAUGAAGCUCUAAAGUUUAAUAUAUAGAAACUUUUGAUAAUAUCGAGGGAAGUCGAGACCUUUUCUCUUAAAAUAUAGAACGAAUGAUAAAAAUUUUAACAAAAACAUAAAAUAUGAACAAAACAAAUAUGAACAAAGCGAAUAAAAGCUUUCCCGCGAAACGCAAGAACGUUAAAAUCACGAGAGAAAUCCGUGAUAUUAUACAUGGUUAUGUUAUGUCUGAUGGUUAUUUACGUGAAGGUCAGUUAACUGUUGAGCAAAACAGUGAAUCGUCGGCAUUUGUUGAAUGGUUGUAUUCAAAAUUAGAACACCUAACUACACGUAAUGGCAUAAAAGAUGUUCAAAGGUUUGAUAAACGAACUAAUACCACAACUUAUUCCAAACGUUUUUUCACUAGAAGGUUACUUAAAGGUUUUAAUAAAAUGUGGUAUAAAGCCAGUGGUAUCCACAAAAAAACAGGUAAACCUAAGUAUGUUAAGACCGUACCUAAAAGUCUUGGCUGUUUCUUUAGCAAAACCUUUAUAACUGUUUGGUAUGCUGGUGAUGGUACGAAAAUUAUUGGUAGUCGUGGUGCAAAAAUAGAAGCAACUUGUUUCAAUGAAGAACAAAAAUUAUUAAUAAAAGAACUAUUUAAGUCAAAAUACGACAUAAAUAUUCACAUUAAUAAAGCGGGUCUAAGCAAAACUGGUACGCAACAAUGGACUUUUAAUAUUAAUUCUGAAGAUUAUGAUAAAUUUCAUAAUAUUAUUACAGAAAUUGAUCUUCGGCCCCGCCCUAAGUUAUUUCCAAAUAAGCUUUGUUAUUAAUCAUUCUAUAUAUUUUAAAUAGAAUUCCGGUUUUUCGAAGAAAAACCGGAAUCCGACGUUUUGUUAAGACAAAACGUUGAAUAAAUUCGGUCUUUGACCCCGUAACGACUUUGCGUUUAUUCGCAGGAUAGCUAUUACCUUUCUUCUACAAGAUCUUAAUAUAAGAAGUUUAAGAAGAAAAGUUAGCUAUAACACGGCAACUCUUUUAAAUAUUAUUUUAAAAGAUGAAAGUAUAGUCUAGUUCCUUAAGGAAACUUAAGGUAGGUCUAAGAAUAUAUUUGAUAAUUUAUUCUUGGACACAGAGACAGUUUGGUCCAUAUCCGGUAUUGGCGUAAGAGCAUUGAGAGGAGUCUUUCAUAGUACGAGAGGACCUGAAAGAAUGUGCCAAUUGUGUACCAGUUCUCAUUCCAAUGGGAAACGCUGGGUAGCUAUGCACAGAGACGAUAAAAGCUGACAGCAUCUAAGUUUGAAGCUCACCUCAAGAUGAGUGCUCUCUAAUUAGGUCGCGGGAAGAUCACCCGUUUUAUAGGCGUUAGGUCUACAGUCAGUAAUGGCUUGAGCUGAGACGUACUAAAGACCAAUUGAUUUUGAU